This is a long non-coding RNA of Canis lupus familiaris (dog), 933 nucleotides long. RefSeq lists it as uncharacterized. The transcript has 3 exons. Lineage: Eukaryota; Metazoa; Chordata; Mammalia; Carnivora; Canidae. The record is from RefSeq and is a predicted model, not a curated record.
UUGACCCUACGUAACUGUAAGGUGGGGAGGCAGGAGGUCUGAUUUAUUGGUGAGUCCCCAGGGCCCAGAAGAGGGCAAAACACAAAGUUACAUGCUUGGUAACUGUAGAAGAAUGAAUGAAUGAACUCACGAAUCAGCUUCAAGUAAAGCAGCAGUUAUUUCUGUGGGGUAUUCUUGAGGACGGUGGUAAAACGCGAAAUAUCUCACAAAGGUGGACAAUGAAAUCUCGAUCUGUGAUUAAAGGCGGCAGCAGCCAGACAAGAAUCUUCUUGGAGGAACAAUGAAGGAAGAAAAAAAACAAAAUGAAACAAAGGAGAGGGAUAAUGAACACAGCUCUCAUCAGCCUUGACUCCUAUUACCUUGCGGUUGGUGUCCAUGGAUGCAGGUGCAGGACUGGUUCAUGUGGGCUGCGAUACAUAGUGGUGCCCUCUUCAGCUGCCUAUAACCCAGCCUGAAGAAGACACUGCCCAUCAGAGGAAUGCCAUUAUCUGUCCUUAAGUGUCAACAAGAUUUCCCAAGCUCCAGGUACCAGAAGAAAGCUGGGAAAGGUCAGGUAAGCCUUCCUCCUGUCCUGUUCUCUCAGACCCUUGCCUUGUCACCUGGUUCAGGAGUCUCCAUCCAGGCCCAGUGAAGUCCUUCUUGGGCAGUUCUAUCAGCUUCUGAUCUCAAAAUUAAUCCAAAGGACAAGUGAGGGUCCUUCCUUUCUUUAUCCUGCUUCAACUAGCAUUUUUCAUGCCCUCUUCUCUCCCCUUUAGUAACAGCAACAGACAGAGGAACAUUGUUUUAGGAGCCAGUAGCAGAAUUCAUCUGGUAAAGACUUGUUUUUUGUGUACCAAAACAUUUGGAUAAGCCACUUUGGCUGUAUCAAGAUGGUCUGUAGGAGAUAGGCUGAAUGAGACAAGAAAGUUUAUAAAUUGAGAAGAAUUUUUGAGU